This 853-nucleotide long non-coding RNA is filed under the name Monodelphis domestica (gray short-tailed opossum). RNAcentral describes it as "lncRNA (ENSMODG00000050143.1)". Lineage: Eukaryota; Metazoa; Chordata; Mammalia; Didelphimorphia; Didelphidae. The record is from RNAcentral.
AGCCAAAGUCAAAGCCAAACUGUUCAGAAGAAAAGAUAGUACAUGUUAUCGUAUCAUUUUAAAUAGAACUGCACACGAAAAUAAUCAGGAAAAAAGGCUAUCUUGUGGACUUUCAAGACAUUUAAAAAUAGCAUCAGGCAACUCUGAUUUCAAUGGCAUGCACAGUUCCACAAGGGAGUGAGAGUCCUUGAAAUAUUCUGCAUCUAAAACCUUUGCAAGUUCAACAUCAAAAUGGCGGAGGGAGGGGGCCCUUUCUGGGGGAAGAGAAGGAAGAAAUGGCAAAGUCUUUAAAGCAAGGAGGUGGAGAGAGUGCUGGAUUUGGAGUUGGCAAGACCUGUAUCCAAAUUGUACUUCAGAUAUUUACUGGCUGAGUAGUCCUGGCUUACUUUACAGAUGAGAAAGCUAAAGCCAACAGGGUUAAGUGACUUGCUCAGGGGCAGAAAACUAGUAAGUAUUUUGAUCUGGAUUUGAACUCAGGUCUUCCUGAUUCCAUGUACAAUAAUAUCCACUGCACCUCCUUGAAGUCAAGUUUUUGUUCAGUCCUUUCAGUUUUAUCCUAGUCUGUGUAACCCCAUUUGGGUUUUUUCUUGGACAAAAUACUGGAGUGGUUUGCCAUGUACUUUUCUAGCUCUUUUUUAUAGGUGAGGAAAUGAAGGCAGAGUUAAAUGACUUUCCCAGGCUCACACACUUAAGAAAUGUCUGAGGCUAGGUUUGAACUCAGUUUUUCUUAAAUCUAGACCCAGCUCUAUGUACACUAACAGCCCUUUGUAAAUGCUAGCUGCUGUUAUAAUUUUUAUUCCUGUGGGAGAGUGGGCACAAUCUGGUCCCAGCACCAGUGAUAAUAAUAGCUAGC